Molecule: ribosomal RNA, 468 nt
Filed under: uncultured bacterium
Lineage: Bacteria
Description: partial 16S ribosomal RNA
Rfam family: Bacterial small subunit ribosomal RNA
Source: RNAcentral
GACGAACGCUGGCGGCGUGCUUAACACAUGCAAGUCGAACGGAAAGGCCCUGCUUUUGUGGGGUGCUCGAGUGGCGAACGGGUGAGUAACACGUGAGUAACCUGCCCUUGACUUUGGGAUAACUUCAGGAAACUGGGGCUAAUACCGGAUAGGAGCUCCUGCUGCAUGGUGGGGGUUGGAAAGUUUCGGCGGUUGGGGAUGGACUCGCGGCUUAUCAGCUUGUUGGUGGGGUAGUGGCUUACCAAGGCUUUGACGGGUAGCCGGCCUGGGAGGGUGACCGGCCACAUUGGGACUGAGAUACGGCCCAGACUCCUACGGGAGGCAGCAGGGGGAAAUAUUGCAGAAGGGGCGGAAGCCUGAUGCAGCAACGCCGCGUGCGGGAUGACGGCCUUCGGGUUGUAAACCGCUUUCGCCUGUGACGAAGCGUGAGUGACGGUAAUGGGUAAAGAAGCACCGGCUAACUACGUG